Molecule: long non-coding RNA, 556 nt
Filed under: Cyanistes caeruleus (blue tit)
Lineage: Eukaryota; Metazoa; Chordata; Aves; Passeriformes; Paridae
Description: lncRNA (ENSCCEG00000014461.1)
Source: RNAcentral
CUGAUUCCUCGUGCAGUUCUGCAGCCAAAGGAGAUCAGACAGCCAUUGACCACGGCCUGGUUGGAUAUGUAGGGCCAUCUCAUAUUGCAUGAGGACUCCAUGAUGAAUGCAGUUUGAAUCCAUCUGGAUAUCACAAAGUUUUAGUGCACAAACUUUUACUGCAAGUGUGAGAUAUUAAGCAACAGCAAAGAGCAGAAACAAUGCUUUCCUUGACUCGUGGAGUUACACAGCAUCAGUUUUUUUUGCUGCCCUUGCCAAAGCUGAAGUAAUCAGUGGAACAGGUUCAAAUGCUCAAAUGAUCAUCUUGUGUGCAGCUGACCUGGAUGUCACUGUGGACAGCUUAAGUUUUACUUUUGUAGGCCUAGCUGAAAGCAGCAGUUCUGCAGAUGAGAUGCUUUUGAAAAUGAUGACAGUGUUUUUGUCAGAGGUACAUAUUUUUUUAGAGUAAUUGUGACUAACUUGAUUGAUUUUGAAUGCUUCUUUUUUCACAUUAAUCAUUCUUCCCUCCCCCCUCCACAAAAAUACCCAAAUCCAAAAUCCUGUUGAUUAGGACUGG